RNAcentral lists this ribosomal RNA (434 nucleotides) under uncultured bacterium. Its description in RNAcentral is "partial 16S ribosomal RNA". It matches the Rfam family "Bacterial small subunit ribosomal RNA", at positions 29 to 507 of the family's 1533-position model. The record is from RNAcentral.
AGCGAACGCUGGCGGCAGGCUUAACACAUGCAAGUCGAGCGGGCACUUUCGGGUGUCAGCGGCGGACGGGUGAGUAACGCGUGGGAACGUGCCCUCUGGUUCGGAAUAACUCAGGGAAACUUGAGCUAAUACCGGAUACGCCCUUUUGGGGAAAGGCUUGCUGCCGGAGGAUCGGCCCGCGUCUGAUUAGCUAGUUGGUGAGGUAACGGCUCACCAAGGCGACGAUCAGUAGCUGGUCUGAGAGGAUGAUCAGCCACACUGGGACUGAGACACGGCCCAGACUCCUACGGGAGGAAGCAGGGGGGAAUAUUGGACAAUGGGCGCAAGCCUGAUCCAGCCAUGCCGCGUGAGUGAUGAGGCCUUAGGGUUGUAAAGCUCUUUUAUCCGGGACGAUAAUGACGGUACCGGAGGAAUAAGCCCCGGCUAACUUCGUG